This 484-nucleotide ribosomal RNA is filed under the name uncultured bacterium. RNAcentral's name for it is "partial 16S ribosomal RNA". It matches the Rfam family "Bacterial small subunit ribosomal RNA", at positions 30 to 507 of the family's 1533-position model. The record is from RNAcentral.
AUUGAACGCUGGCGGCAUGCUUUACACAUGCAAGUCGAACGGCAGCGCGGGCUUCGGCCUGGCGGCGAGUGGCGAACGGGUGAGUAAUACAUCGGAACGUGCCCAGUAGUGGGGGAUAGCUCGGCGAAAGCCGGAUUAAUACCGCAUACGACCUGAGGGUGAAAGCGGGGGAUCUUCGGACCUCGCGCUAUUUGAGCGGCCGAUGGCAGAUUAGCUAGUUGGUGGGGUAAAGGCCUACCAAGGCGACGAUCUGUAGCUGGUCUGAGAGGACGACCAGCCUCACUGGGACUGAGACACGGCCCAGACUCCUACGGGAGGCAGCAGUGGGGAAUUUUGGACAAUGGGCGAAAGCCUGAUCCAGCAAUGCCGCGUGUGUGAUGAAGGCCUUCGGGUUGUAAAGCACUUUUGGCGGGAACGAAAAGGACUGUGCCAAUACCACGGUUCGAUGACGGUACCCGCAGAAUAAGCACCGGCUAACUACGUG